This 60-nucleotide microRNA precursor is filed under the name Microcaecilia unicolor. RNAcentral describes it as "Mun-Mir-155_pre stem-loop". It matches the Rfam family "mir-155 microRNA precursor family". The record is from RNAcentral. Lineage: Eukaryota; Metazoa; Chordata; Amphibia; Gymnophiona; Siphonopidae.
UUAAUGCUAAUCGUGAUAGGGGUUUUAAAUGUGAAGAACUCCUACAUCUUAGCAUUAACA